Molecule: ribosomal RNA, 690 nt
Filed under: Paracidovorax oryzae
Lineage: Bacteria; Pseudomonadati; Pseudomonadota; Betaproteobacteria; Burkholderiales; Comamonadaceae
Description: bacterial SSU rRNA
Rfam family: Bacterial small subunit ribosomal RNA
Source: RNAcentral
AUGCUGACGAGUGGCGAACGGGUGAGUAAUACAUCGGAACGUGCCCGAUCGUGGGGGAUAACGAGGCGAAAGCUUUGCUAAUACCGCAUAAGAUCUAUGGAUGAAAGCAGGGGACCGCAAGGCCUUGCGCGAACGGAGCGGCCGAUGGCAGAUUAGGUAGUUGGUGGGGUAAAGGCUUACCAAGCCUACGAUCUGUAGCUGGUCUGAGAGGACGACCAGCCACACUGGGACUGAGACACGGCCCAGACUCCUACGGGAGGCAGCAGUGGGGAAUUUUGGACAAUGGGCGCAAGCCUGAUCCAGCCAUGCCGCGUGCAGGAUGAAGGCCUUCGGGUUGUAAACUGCUUUUGUACGGAACGAAAAGCCUUCUUCUAAUAAAGGGAGGUCAUGACGGUACCGUAAGAAUAAGCACCGGCUAACUACGUGCCAGCAGCCGCGGUAAUACGUAGGGUGCAAGCGUUAAUCGGAAUUACUGGGCGUAAAGCGUGCGCAGGCGGUGAUGUAAGACAGAUGUGAAAUCCCCGGGCUCAACCUGGGAACUGCAUUUGUGACUGCAUCGCUGGAGUACGGCAGAGGGGGAUGGAAUUCCGCGUGUAGCAGUGAAAUGCGUAGAUAUGCGGAGGAACACCGAUGGCGAAGGCAAUCCCCUGGGCCUGUACUGACGCUCAUGCACGAAAGCGUGGGGAGCAA